UGGGGGAUAUUGCACAAUGGGCGAAAGCCUGAUGCAGCGACGCCGCGUGGGGGAUGAAGGCCUUCGGGUUGUAAACUUCUUUUGCUCUGAACAAGGCAUGCUAAUGGGUGUGUUGAGUGUAGGGGUUGAUUAGCGCCGGCUAACUACGUGCCAGCAGCCGCGGUAAUACGUAGGGCGCGAGCGUUGUCCGGAAUUAUUGGGCGUAAAGGGCUUGUAGGUGGCUGGUUGCGUCUGUCGUGAAAGCUCAUGGCUUAACUGUGGGUUUGCGUUGGGUACUGGCUGGCUUGAGUGCAGUAGGGGAGGCUGGAAUUCCUGGUGUAGCGGUGGAAUGCGCAGAUAUCAGGAGGAAUACCGGUGGCGAAGGCGGGUCUCUGGGCUGUUACUGACACUGAGGAGCGAAAGCAUGGGGAGCGAACAGG
Molecule: ribosomal RNA, 419 nt
Filed under: bacterium
Lineage: Bacteria
Description: partial 16S ribosomal RNA
Rfam family: Bacterial small subunit ribosomal RNA
Source: RNAcentral